RNAcentral lists this ribosomal RNA (254 nucleotides) under uncultured bacterium. RNAcentral describes it as "partial 16S ribosomal RNA". It matches the Rfam family "Bacterial small subunit ribosomal RNA", at positions 524 to 776 of the family's 1533-position model. The record is from RNAcentral.
UACGUAGGGCGCGAGCGUUGUCCGGAAUUAUUGGGCGUAAAGAGCUCGUAGGUGGUUCGGUAAGUCGGGUGUUAAACCCCCAGGCUCAACCUGGGGACGCCACUCGAUACUGCUGUGACUAGAGUCCGGUAGGGGAGCGUGGAAUUCCUGGUGUAGCGGUGAAAUGCGCAGAUAUCAGGAGGAACACCAGCGGCGAAGGCGGCGCUCUGGGCCGGUACUGACACUGAGGAGCGAAAGCGUGGGUAGCAAACAGG